Molecule: ribosomal RNA, 469 nt
Filed under: uncultured bacterium
Lineage: Bacteria
Description: partial 16S ribosomal RNA
Rfam family: Bacterial small subunit ribosomal RNA
Source: RNAcentral
GGACGAACGCUGGCGGCGUGCUUAACACAUGCAAGUCGAACGGAAAGGCCCUGCUUUUGUGGGGUGCUCGAGUGGCGAACGGGUGAGUAACACGUGAGUAACCUGCCCUUGACUUUGGGAUAACUUCAGGAAACUGGGGCUAAUACCGGAUAGGAGCUCCUGCUGCAUGGUGGGGGUUGGAAAGUUUCGGCGGUUGGGGAUGGACUCGCGGCUUAUCAGCUUGUUGGUGGGGUAGUGGCUUACCAAGGCUUUGACGGGUAGCCGGCCUGAGAGGGUGACCGGCCACAUUGGGACUGAGAUACGGCCCAGACUCCUACGGGAGGCAGCAGUGGAGAAUAUUGCACAAUGGGCGGAAGCCUGAUGCAGCAACGCCGCGUGCGGGAUGACGGCCUUCGGGUUGUAAACCGCUUUCGCCUGUGACGAAGCGUGAGUGACGGUAAUGGGUAAAGAAGCACCGGCUAACUACGUG